This 499-nucleotide ribosomal RNA is filed under the name uncultured bacterium. RNAcentral's name for it is "partial 16S ribosomal RNA". It matches the Rfam family "Bacterial small subunit ribosomal RNA", at positions 28 to 507 of the family's 1533-position model. The record is from RNAcentral.
GACGAACGCUGGCGGCGUGCCUAAUACAUGCAAGUCGAGCGAAGUUUUUCUGGUGCUUGUACUAGAAAAACUUAGCGGCGAACGGGUGAGUAACACGUAAAGAACCUGCCUCAUAGACUGGGACAACUAUUGGAAACGAUAGCUAAUACCGGAUAACAGUAUUUCUCGCAUGAGAGCUAUUUAAAAGUUGGUUAUGCUAACACUAUGAGAUGGCUUUGCGGUGCAUUAGCUAGUUGGUGGGGUAAAGGCCCACCAAGGCGACGAUGCAUAGCCGACCUGAGGGGGUGAUCGGCCACACUGAGACUGAGACACGGCCCAGAGUCCUACGGGAGGCAGCAGUAGGGAAUCUUCAGCAAUGGGCGAAAGCCUGCCGGGGCAACGCCGCAUGAGUGAAGAAGGAUAACGGUUCGUAAUGCUCUGUUGUUAGAGAAGAAUGGAUAUGUAGUAACUAUACAUGUAAGAGACGGUACCUAACCAGAAAGCCACGGCUAACUACGUG